GACGAACGCUGGCGGCGUGCCUAAUACAUGCAAGUUGAGCGCUGAAGGUUGGUACUUGUACCAACUGGAUGAGCAGCGAACGGGUGAGUAACGCGUGGGGAAUCUGCCUUUGAGCGGGGGACAACAUUGGGAAACGAAUGCUAAUACCGCAUAAAAACUUUAAACACAAGUUUAAAGUUUGAAAGAUGCAAUUGCAUCACUCAAAGAUGAUCCCGCGUUGUAUUAGCUAGUUGGUGAGGUAAAGGCUCACCAAGGCGAUGAUACAUAGCCGACCUGAGAGGGUGAUCGGCCACAUUGGGACUGAGACACGGCCCAAACUCCUACGGGAGGCAGCAGUAGGGAAUCUUCGGCAAUGGACGAAAGUCUGACCGAGCAACGCCGCGUGAGUGAAGAAGGGUUUCGGAUCGUAAAACUCUGUUGGUAGAGAAGAACGUUGGUGAGAGUGGAAAGCUCAUCAAGUGACGGUAACUACCCAGAAAGGGACGGCUAACUACGUG
RNAcentral lists this ribosomal RNA (497 nucleotides) under uncultured bacterium. Its description in RNAcentral is "partial 16S ribosomal RNA". It matches the Rfam family "Bacterial small subunit ribosomal RNA", at positions 28 to 507 of the family's 1533-position model. The record is from RNAcentral.